GGAGGCAGCAGUGGGGAAUUUUGGGCAAUGGGCGAAAGCCUGACCCAGCAACGCCGCGUGAAGGAUGAAAUCCCUCGGGAUGUAAACUUCGCAAGAACGGGAAGAAUAAGUAGGGGACAAUACCCCCUAUGAUGACGGUACCGUUUGUAAGCUCCGGCUAACUCCGUGCCAGCAGCCGCGGUAAUACGGGGGGAGCAAGCGUUGUUCGGAUUUACUGGGCGUAAAGGGCGCGUAGGCGGUCAGCACAAGUCAAUUGUGAAAUCUCCGAGCUUAACUCGGAAAGGUCAACUGAAACUGUGCGACUAGAGUGCGGAAGGGGCAACUGGAAUUCUUGGUGUAGCGGUGAAAUGCGUAGAUAUCAAGAGGAACACCUGCGGCGAAGGCGGGUUGCUGGGCCGACACUGACGCUGAAGCGCGAAAGCCAGGGGAGCGAACGGGAUUAGAUACCCCGGUAGUCCUGGCCUUAAACGAUGAAUGCUUGGUGUCUGGGGUUAUAAAGUCCCCGGGUGCCGUCGCUAACGCUUUAAGCAUUCCGCCUGGGGAGUACGGUCGCAAGACUGAAACUCAAAGGAAUUGACGGGGACCCGCACGAGCGGUGGAGCAUGUGGUUUAAUUCGACGCAACGCGAAGAACCUUACCUGGGCUAGAAUGCCUCUGACAACCCUAGAGAUAGGGCCUCCAAGGUAAAACUUGGCAGAGUGCAAGGUGCUGCAUGGCUGUCGUCAGCUCGUGUCGUGAGAUGUUGGGUUAAGUCCCGCAACGAGCGCAACCCUUAUCUUUAGUUGCCAGCAUUAAGUUGGGCACUCUAGAGAGACUGCCGUUGACAAAACGGAGGAAGGUGGGGAUGACGUCAAGUCCUCAUGGCCUUUAUGUCCAGGGCUACACACGUGCUACAAUGGCCGGUACAAACCGCCGCAAACUCGCAAGAGGGAGCCAAUCGGAAAAAGCCGGUCUCAGUUCGGAUUGGAGUCUGCAACUCGACUCCAUGAAGUUGGA
RNAcentral lists this ribosomal RNA (996 nucleotides) under uncultured bacterium. Its description in RNAcentral is "bacterial SSU rRNA". It matches the Rfam family "Bacterial small subunit ribosomal RNA", at positions 344 to 1330 of the family's 1533-position model. The record is from RNAcentral.